This 2898-nucleotide ribosomal RNA is filed under the name Klebsiella pneumoniae subsp. pneumoniae. RNAcentral's name for it is "bacterial LSU rRNA". It matches the Rfam family "Bacterial large subunit ribosomal RNA". The record is from RNAcentral. Lineage: Bacteria; Pseudomonadati; Pseudomonadota; Gammaproteobacteria; Enterobacterales; Enterobacteriaceae.
UAAGUGACUAAGCGUACACGGUGGAUGCCCUGGCAGUCAGAGGCGAUGAAGGACGUGCUAAUCUGCGAAAAGCGUCGGUAAGGUGAUAUGAACCGUUAUAACCGGCGAUGUCCGAAUGGGGAAACCCAGUGCAAUUCGUUGCACUAUCGUUAACUGAAUACAUAGGUUAACGAGGCGAACCGGGGGAACUGAAACAUCUAAGUACCCCGAGGAAAAGAAAUCAACCGAGAUUCCCCCAGUAGCGGCGAGCGAACGGGGAGCAGCCCAGAGUCUGAAUCAGCUUGUGUGUUAGUGGAACGGUCUGGAAAGUCCGACGGUACAGGGUGAUAGUCCCGUACACCAAAAUGCACAGGCUGUGAACUCGAAGAGUAGGGCGGGACACGUGGUAUCCUGUCUGAAUAUGGGGGGACCAUCCUCCAAGGCUAAAUACUCCUGACUGACCGAUAGUGAACCAGUACCGUGAGGGAAAGGCGAAAAGAACCCCGGCGAGGGGAGUGAAAAAGAACCUGAAACCGUGUACGUACAAGCAGUGGGAGCACCUUCGGGUGUGACUGCGUACCUUUUGUAUAAUGGGUCAGCGACUUAUAUUCUGUAGCAAGGUUAACCGUAUAGGGGAGCCGCAGGGAAACCGAGUCUUAACUGGGCGUUAAGUUGCAGGGUAUAGACCCGAAACCCGGUGAUCUAGCCAUGGGCAGGUUGAAGGUUGGGUAACACUAACUGGAGGACCGAACCGACUAAUGUUGAAAAAUUAGCGGAUGACUUGUGGCUGGGGGUGAAAGGCCAAUCAAACCGGGAGAUAGCUGGUUCUCCCCGAAAGCUAUUUAGGUAGCGCCUCGUGAAUUCAUCUUCGGGGGUAGAGCACUGUUUCGGCUAGGGGGUCAUCCCGACUUACCAACCCGAUGCAAACUACGAAUACCGAAGAAUGUUAUCACGGGAGACACACGGCGGGUGCUAACGUCCGUCGUGAAGAGGGAAACAACCCAGACCGCCAGCUAAGGUCCCAAAGUCAUGGUUAAGUGGGAAACGAUGUGGGAAGGCACAGACAGCCAGGAUGUUGGCUUAGAAGCAGCCAUCAUUUAAAGAAAGCGUAAUAGCUCACUGGUCGAGUCGGCCUGCGCGGAAGAUGUAACGGGGCUAAACCAUGCACCGAAGCUGCGGCAGCGACACUAUGUGUUGUUGGGUAGGGGAGCGUUCUGUAAGCCUGCGAAGGUGACCUGUGAGGGUUGCUGGAGGUAUCAGAAGUGCGAAUGCUGACAUAAGUAACGAUAAAGCGGGUGAAAAGCCCGCUCGCCGGAAGACCAAGGGUUCCUGUCCAACGUUAAUCGGGGCAGGGUGAGUCGACCCCUAAGGCGAGGCCGAAAGGCGUAGUCGAUGGGAAACAGGUUAAUAUUCCUGUACUUGGUGUUACUGCGAAGGGGGGACGGAGAAGGCUAUGUUAGCCGGGCGACGGUUGUCCCGGUUUAAGCAUGUAGGCUGGUUGUCCAGGCAAAUCCGGAUAAUCAAGGCUGAGGUGUGAUGACGAGGCACUACGGUGCUGAAGUAACAAAUGCCCUGCUUCCAGGAAAAGCCUCUAAGCAUCAGGUAACAUCAAAUCGUACCCCAAACCGACACAGGUGGUCAGGUAGAGAAUACCAAGGCGCUUGAGAGAACUCGGGUGAAGGAACUAGGCAAAAUGGUGCCGUAACUUCGGGAGAAGGCACGCUGGUGUGUAGGUGAAGUCCCUGCGGAUGGAGCUGAGACCAGUCGAAGAUACCAGCUGGCUGCAACUGUUUAUUAAAAACACAGCACUGUGCAAACACGAAAGUGGACGUAUACGGUGUGACGCCUGCCCGGUGCCGGAAGGUUAAUUGAUGGGGUUAUCCGUAAGGAGAAGCUCUUGAUCGAAGCCCCGGUAAACGGCGGCCGUAACUAUAACGGUCCUAAGGUAGCGAAAUUCCUUGUCGGGUAAGUUCCGACCUGCACGAAUGGCGUAAUGAUGGCCAGGCUGUCUCCACCCGAGACUCAGUGAAAUUGAACUCGCUGUGAAGAUGCAGUGUACCCGCGGCAAGACGGAAAGACCCCGUGAACCUUUACUAUAGCUUGACACUGAACAUUGAGCCUUGAUGUGUAGGAUAGGUGGGAGGCUUUGAAGCGUGGACGCCAGUCUGCGUGGAGCCAACCUUGAAAUACCACCCUUUAAUGUUUGAUGUUCUAACGUUGGCCCCUGACCGGGGUUGCGGACAGUGUCUGGUGGGUAGUUUGACUGGGGCGGUCUCCUCCCAAAGCGUAACGGAGGAGCACGAAGGUUAGCUAAUCCUGGUCGGACAUCAGGAGGUUAGUGCAAUGGCAUAAGCUAGCUUGACUGCGAGCGUGACGGCGCGAGCAGGUGCGAAAGCAGGUCAUAGUGAUCCGGUGGUUCUGAAUGGAAGGGCCAUCGCUCAACGGAUAAAAGGUACUCCGGGGAUAACAGGCUGAUACCGCCCAAGAGUUCAUAUCGACGGCGGUGUUUGGCACCUCGAUGUCGGCUCAUCACAUCCUGGGGCUGAAGUAGGUCCCAAGGGUAUGGCUGUUCGCCAUUUAAAGUGGUACGCGAGCUGGGUUUAGAACGUCGUGAGACAGUUCGGUCCCUAUCUGCCGUGGGCGCUGGAGAAUUGAGGGGGGCUGCUCCUAGUACGAGAGGACCGGAGUGGACGCAUCACUGGUGUUCGGGUUGUCAUGCCAAUGGCACUGCCCGGUAGCUAAAUGCGGAAGAGAUAAGUGCUGAAAGCAUCUAAGCACGAAACUUGCCCCGAGAUGAGUUCUCCCUGAGACUUUAAGUCUCCUGAAGGAACGUUGAAGACGACGACGUUGAUAGGCCGGGUGUGUAAGCGCAGCGAUGCGUUGAGCUAACCGGUACUAAUGAACCGUGAGGCUUAACCU